UUGGAGGGCAAGUCUGGUGCCUGCAGCCGCGGUAAUUCCAGCUCCAAUAGCGUAUAUUAAAGUUGUUGCAGUUAAAAAGCUCGUAGUUGAAUUUCGAGAUCAAUAUGUCGGUCGUGCCUUCGGUACGUACUGGUAUCAUUGGUUUCUCCUUUCUGACGAACCAUGAUGUCAUUAAUUUGGUGUUAUGGGGAGUUAGGACUGUUACUUUGAAAAAAUUAGAGUGUUUAAAGCAGGCUUUAGCUUGAAUACAUUAGCAUGGAAUAAUGAAAUAGGACGUUCGAACCUAUUUUGUUGGUUUCUAGGAUCAACGUAAUGAUUAAUAGGGAUAGUUGGGGGCAUUAGUAUUCAAUUGUCAGAGGUGAAAUCCUUGGAUUUAUUGAAGACUAACUACUGCGAAAGCAUUUGCCAAGGAUGUUUUCAUUAAUCAAGAACGAAAGUUAGGGGAUCGAAGACGAUCAGAUACCGUCGUAGUCUUAACCAUAAACUAUGCCGACUAGGGAUCGGAUGAUGUUGAUUUUUUAAUGACUCAUUCGGCGCCUUACGGGAAAC
This 549-nucleotide ribosomal RNA is filed under the name uncultured Glomus. Its description in RNAcentral is "SSU rRNA". It matches the Rfam family "Eukaryotic small subunit ribosomal RNA", at positions 548 to 1098 of the family's 1831-position model. The record is from RNAcentral. Lineage: Eukaryota; Fungi; Glomeromycota; Glomeromycetes; Glomerales; Glomeraceae.